This 381-nucleotide ribosomal RNA is filed under the name uncultured bacterium. RNAcentral's name for it is "bacterial SSU rRNA". It matches the Rfam family "Bacterial small subunit ribosomal RNA", at positions 28 to 410 of the family's 1533-position model. The record is from RNAcentral.
GACGAACGCUGGCGGCGUGCUUAACACAUGCAAGUCGAGCGGUAAGGCCCUUUCGGGGGUACACGAGCGGCGAACGGGUGAGUAACACGUGGGUGACCUGCCCUCAGCUCUGGGAUAAGCCUGGGAAACCGGGUCUAAUACCGGAUAUGACUCCAUGACGCAUGUUGUGGGGUGAAAGCCUUGUGCGGCUGAGGAUGGGCCCGCGGCCUAUCAGCUUGUUGGUGGGGUGAUGGCCUACCAAGGCGACGACGGGUAGCCGGCCUCGAGAGGGCGACCGGCCACACUGGGACUGAGACACGGCCCAGACUCCUACGGGAGGCAGCAGUGGGGAAUCUUGCGCAAUGGGCGAAAGCCUGACGCAGCGACGCCGCGUGAGGGAUG